RNAcentral lists this ribosomal RNA (497 nucleotides) under uncultured bacterium. Its description in RNAcentral is "partial 16S ribosomal RNA". It matches the Rfam family "Bacterial small subunit ribosomal RNA", at positions 28 to 507 of the family's 1533-position model. The record is from RNAcentral.
GAUGAACGCUGGCGGCGUGCCUAAUACAUGCGAGUCGAGCGAACAGACGAGGAGCUUGCUCCUUUGACGUUAGCGGCGGACGGGUGAGUAACACGUGGAUAACCUACCUAUAAGACUGGGAUAACUUCGGGAAACCGGAGCUAAUACCGGAUAACAUUUUGAACCGCAUGGUUCAACAGUGAAAGACGGUCUUGCUGUCACUUAUAGAUGGAUCCGCGCCGCAUUAGCUAGUUGGUAAGGUAACGGCUUACCAAGGCAACGAUGCGUAGCCGACCUGAGAGGGUGAUCGGCCACACUGGAACUGAGACACGGUCCAGACUCCUACGGGAGGCAGCAGUAGGGAAUCUUCCGCAAUGGGCGAAAGCCUGACGGAGCAACGCCGCGUGAGUGAAGAAGGUCUUCGGAUCGUAAAACUCUGUUAUUAGGGAAGAACAAAUGUGUAAGUAACUAUGCACGUCUUGACGGUACCUAAUCAGAAAGCCACGGCUAACUACGUG